This 484-nucleotide ribosomal RNA is filed under the name uncultured bacterium. Its description in RNAcentral is "partial 16S ribosomal RNA". It matches the Rfam family "Bacterial small subunit ribosomal RNA", at positions 30 to 507 of the family's 1533-position model. The record is from RNAcentral.
AUUGAACGCUGGCGGCAGGCCUAACACAUGCAAGUCGAGCGGAUGAAGGGAGCUUGCUCCUGGAUUCAGCGGCGGACGGGUGAGUAAUGCCUAGGAAUCUGCCUGGUAGUGGGGGAUAACGUCCGGAAACGGGCGCUAAUACCGCAUACGUCCUGAGGGAGAAAGUGGGGGAUCUUCGGACCUCACGCUAUCGGAUGAGCCUAGGUCGGAUUAGCUAGUUGGUGGGGUAAGGGCCUACCAAGGCGACGAUCCGUAACUGGUCUGAGAGGAUGAUCAGUCACACUGGAACUGAGACACGGUCCAGACUCCUACGGGAGGCAGCAGUGGGGAAUAUUGGACAAUGGGCGAAAGCCUGAUCCAGCCAUGCCGCGUGUGUGAAGAAGGUCUUCGGAUUGUAAAGCACUUUAAGUUGGGAGGAAGGGCAGUAAGUUAAUACCUUGCUGUUUUGACGUUACCAACAGAAUAAGCACCGGCUAACUUCGUG